CAUUUUCUAAGCCAGUAUUGGCACACACUGGCAAGAGCUUAUACAAUAGUGGCACAAAUGUUGUGGGACUAACCAGCCACUCUGUAAUUGGACAUAAGACCCAUUCCGUGAAACAGAACCUAUCAUGACACCUGAUAUCCAAUACUGCUUGGGUAACUAAGAACUUGAAGCUAGAUGGGUCAUGGACCCCAGGAGAAACCAAAGACGAUUGUUCUGCUAAAGAAACCUAGCAAUAAAAUAACUCCUGGCAGGCAGCAUUCUGCAGUCCCCAUAGAGCCCGUGCCUCAUUCAGCCAUCAGCAGAGAAGCUUCCUCUUGCCAUAGCUAGGAACUAGCAUGGAGACCCCCAACUGGACAGCGUGCAGAAAGUGACAGAUUCUGGAACAUUCAGUUCUAAACAGAACAUCUUCAGCAAACCCCUCUCUACUCAGGGCUUAGGGAACUCUGCAGAAGAUGAGGCAGAAGAAUUGUAAGGGCCAUAGGAGAUGGAGGACGCCAAGGAAAUAAGGUCAGGUCCAACAUAUGUAUGACCUCACUGAAACUAUGACAGCAUACACAGGGCCUGCAGAGGUUCAAGCCAGAUGAGGGUCCCAGUACUGAGAGGGGGAAGUGGACACGAGCUCUUGUUCCUAAUCAUGAAGCUUUCUCCAACUGCCAUCAACUUGCAAAGGAAAAAUUCAUGUUUUCCAGUGGAGUCUCACUGAAUACUAACUACACUUAAAGAUCUGGAACCCACAGAGAGAAUGCUGGACACUCCUGGUUCUUCCUCCUUAUCCCAUGUCAGUGAGGCUCAAUUGUUUCUGACCUUGGAGGCAAAGAGGGUUCAAUAGAGUAUCCUAGAUGCUGAAGCAUAAAACAUGAGUCAUCAAACAACUUCAACAAAUGGCACGACACAACCACGGUCAAGCUGGGGGCAGCCCAGGACUCCAUUGCUUAGUAGAAAAGUUGCAGUGGGAAAGUCACCAUGCACACCUCAGAUCCAAGCUUCUUGUAGCAACUGGGAGAGAGCCAGAGCCUGCUGAAGCAGAGAGACAUGAUGCACUGCCGUGAACUCUUUCAGAGGAGGUAGGACCCCAGGUGAGGAGAAGGAAGAAGAGGAAGGAAACCUAGUAGGUCUUCUUUGCCCAGGACCUUUAUCCUUUAUGUCUUCCGGUCCUCUUCAAGGCUCUCGGUCACAGCCAUGGAGGAAAAACACCUCAGAAUAUUGUGCAAACUGAAACAGUUUGAUCGGUCCUUAAUCCA
This is a long non-coding RNA of Mus musculus (house mouse), 1241 nucleotides long. RefSeq annotates it as predicted gene, 52142. The transcript is spliced from 3 exons. NCBI's taxonomy places the organism in Eukaryota, Metazoa, Chordata, Mammalia, Rodentia, Muridae. The record is from RefSeq and is a predicted model, not a curated record.